This is a long non-coding RNA of Sander lucioperca (pikeperch), 405 nucleotides long. RefSeq lists it as uncharacterized. The transcript is spliced from 2 exons. NCBI's taxonomy places the organism in Eukaryota, Metazoa, Chordata, Actinopteri, Perciformes, Percidae. The record is from RefSeq and is a predicted model, not a curated record.
GCCAUUGCUUUUGAUUGCUGUCGUCCCUACACUUCGAUGCUUCUGAAGACUUUUAAAUCUACAGUUUUUUUUUUAUGAUAGUGGAAUUUUCUGUUUAAUUUGCUUUGUUGAUUAAGCUUGUGUAAAGCACUUUCAAUUGCCUUUGUGUCUAAAUUGUGCUAUAUAAAGAAAUUGCCUUGCCUAUUUUCUAAAUUAUGAAUGGGGUUCCAUCUUGGAAAACGUAUCCAGUUCCCUUACAACGUGGUAUCAUGACUUUGCGUAAACAUACACGGCGACUUUCUUAAGCCAAGUGGCGUGUUAUCUGUACACAUUUUGAGCUAUCCGCGUGUAUGUCUACGCUGUAUACAGGGAACGUAAACAUACAUGCCACUUCAGGAAAAGAAAAACCGGUUGGGUUUAGGAAAA